CCUACGGGAGGCAGCAGUGGGGAAUAUUGGACAAUGGGGGCAACCCUGAUCCAGCCAUGCCGCGUGUGUGAAGAAGGCCCUCGGGUUGUAAAGCACUUUCAGUGAGGAAGAACGCCUGGUGGUUAAUACCCAUCAGGAAAGACAUCACUCACAGAAGAAGCACCGGCUAACUCCGUGCCAGCAGCCGCGGUAAUACGGAGGGUGCGAGCGUUAAUCGGAAUUACUGGGCGUAAAGCGCGCGUAGGUGGCUUGAUAAGCCGGUUGUGAAAGCCCCGGGCUCAACCUGGGAACGGCAUCCGGAACUGUCAAGCUAGAGUGCAGGAGAGGAAGGUAGAAUUCCCGGUGUAGCGGUGAAAUGCGUAGAGAUCGGGAGGAAUACCAGUGGCGAAGGCGGCCUUCUGGACUAACACUGACACUGAGGUGCGAAAGCGUGGGUAGCAAACAGGAUUAGAUACCCGUGUAGUC
RNAcentral lists this ribosomal RNA (465 nucleotides) under Vreelandella stevensii. Its description in RNAcentral is "partial 16S ribosomal RNA". It matches the Rfam family "Bacterial small subunit ribosomal RNA", at positions 338 to 795 of the family's 1533-position model. The record is from RNAcentral. Lineage: Bacteria; Pseudomonadati; Pseudomonadota; Gammaproteobacteria; Oceanospirillales; Halomonadaceae.